GGGUCGCGGGGGUUAUAAAGGCGUGCUCGGGCAUGAAAAUGGAAGGCCGGAGGAGGAGAUUGCGGCGGCGGGCGCGCGGGGACGGCGGCUGGAAAUCGCGCGCGUGACCGGCGGCGCUUUCCUUCGUGGAAGACGCGGCUGACAGGUGGACCCCACCUGUCAGCGACUGUGGGCGCGCGCGCGCGGACCGGGCGGUCUGGGCCGGUUCGGCCUAUUUUGGCCGGGCCGGUCCGGUUUACCCCCUUUUUUUUUUCUUUUAGGCCUUUUCUUUUUCUGUUUUUCUCAUUUCUUUGAUAUCUUUUGUGUUUGAACUCCAAAUUGGUCCAAAGAAAUUCCAGAAAAUUUGUAAAAUCAUGUUCUACCAAGAUACAACUUUUGGAAGUAGUUUCUCUUCAAAAUAAAAUAUGUAAAAAUACAUUUGCCCUAUAAAUGCCUUUAGGGCCAUAUAUCUAUUUGAAUAAAAUACUUUUUCAACUCCAAAUAAUUAACCAAAAAUUAUGGGAUAGCUUAUAUAUGCAUUAAACCCCUUUUAUACAUCAACCCCUAUUGGUUUGAAAAUCCAAAGGUUACAGGGAUGUAAACAAAAUCUCUUAAAGCCUUUUGUGAUUCAAAAUUUGAAUUCAAACAUGCAAUUGUGGCAUGAUGCUCAUGGAUGCAAUGCACAUGUAAAAGUUUGAAAUUUUGGGAUACACAAUGCAACUAAUAAAAUCUAGUGCAUAAUAAAAUAAUAGGAUGAUGGUCAA
RNAcentral lists this long non-coding RNA (743 nucleotides) under Brachypodium distachyon (stiff brome). Its description in RNAcentral is "long non-coding RNA (BDIS_LNC005964)". Lineage: Eukaryota; Viridiplantae; Streptophyta; Magnoliopsida; Poales; Poaceae. The record is from RNAcentral.